CUCGGAGCUCCGGGCACUCAGACAUCAUGAGUUGGUCCUUGAACCCCCGGAAUUUAAUUCUCUACCUUUAUGCUCUUUUAUUUCUCUCUUCAACAUGUGUGGCAUAUGUUGCUACCAGAGACAACUGCUGCAUCUUAGAUGAAAGAUUCGGUAGUUAUUGUCCAACUACCUGUGGCAUUGCAGAUUUCCUGUCUACUUAUCAAACCAAAGUAGACAAGGAUCUACUGUCUUUGGAAGACAUCUUACAUCAAGUUGAAAACAAAACAUCAGAAGUCAAAGAGCUGAUAAAAGCAAUCCAACUCAGUUAUAAUCCUGAUGAACCAUCAAAACCAAAUACGAUAGACUCUGCUACUCUGAAGUCCAGGAAAAUGUUAGAAGAAAUUAUGAAAUAUGAAGCAUUGAUUUUAACACAUGACUCAAGUAUUCGGUAAGGAUUUUUGUUUUAAUUUGCUCUGCAAGACUGAUUUAGUUUUUAUUUAAUAUUCUAUACUUGAGUGAAAGUAAUUUUUAAUGUGUUUUCCCCAUUUAUAAUAUCCCAGUGACAUUAUGCCUGAUUAUGUUGAGCAUAGUAGAGAUAGAAGUUUUUAGGCCAAUAUAAAUUAUACUGGAUUAUAAUUGCUUAUUAAUAAUCACAUUGAAGAAAGAUGUUCUAGAUGUCUUCAAAUGCUAGUUUGACCAUAUUUAUCGAAAAUUUUUUCCCCGUCCCCCAUUUAUCUUACAACAUAAAAUCAAUCUCAUAGGAAUCUGGGUGUUGAAAAUAAAAUCCUCUUUAUAAAAAUGUUGACAAAUUGGUGGUUAAAAAAAUUAGCAAGCAGAGGCAUAGUAAGGAUUUUGGCUCCUAAAGUAAAUUAUAUUGAAUGUGGAGCAGGAAGAAACAUGUCUUGAGAGACUAAGUGUAGCAAACAUUGCAAAGCUCAUGUUGAUCAUUGCAGAAUGAACCUGCAUAGUCUCUUCCCUUCAUUUGGAAGUGAAUGUCUCUGUUAACAGCUUCUCAGGG
This 997-nucleotide small RNA is filed under the name Pongo abelii (Sumatran orangutan). RNAcentral's name for it is "retained intron". The record is from RNAcentral. Lineage: Eukaryota; Metazoa; Chordata; Mammalia; Primates; Hominidae.